This 367-nucleotide ribosomal RNA is filed under the name uncultured organism. RNAcentral's name for it is "bacterial LSU rRNA". It matches the Rfam family "Bacterial large subunit ribosomal RNA", at positions 2099 to 2465 of the family's 2925-position model. The record is from RNAcentral.
CUUUACUGUAGCUUUACAUUGGACUUUGAACAGAUCUGUGUAGGAUAGGUGGGAGGCUUUGAAGCGGUGCCGCUAGGUGUCGUGGAGCCAACGUUGAAAUACCACCCUGGUGUGUUUGAGGUUCUAACCUUGUCCCGUUAUCCGGGAUGGGGACAGUGUAUGGUGGGCAGUUUGACUGGGGCGGUCUCCUCCCAAAGUGUAACGGAGGAGUUCGAAGGUACGCUAGCCACGGUCGGAAAUCGUGGUGAUAGUGCAUUGGCAUAAGCGUGCUUGACUGCGAGACUGACAAGUCGAGCAGGUACGAAAGUAGGACAAAGUGAUCCGGUGGUUCUGUAUGGAAGGGCCAUCGCUCAACGGAUAAAAGGUA